Molecule: non-coding RNA, 229 nt
Filed under: Gracilibacillus halophilus
Lineage: Bacteria; Bacillati; Bacillota; Bacilli; Caryophanales; Bacillaceae
Description: T-box sequence
Rfam family: T-box leader
About the family: Uncharged tRNA acts as the effector for transcription antitermination of genes in the T-box leader family. T-boxes are found upstream of many aminoacyl-tRNA synthetase genes and some amino acid biosynthetic genes usually in Gram-positive bacteria.
Source: RNAcentral
CAAAGUACGUUGAUUGGGAGAGUAUGGUGAUGAAUAGCUUUCAAAGCGAGUCAGGGAUGGUGGAAGCCUGAUAAAGCCCAUUAUCAGAAGAUCACCCAUGAAGUAGUUGUGUUGAAUAUAAGUAGACGCAAUCGUUUCAUUCACGAUACGAAUGUUGGAGUGGACAAUGACUGAUUGAUCAUCGGCAUUGUCUAUGAGGGUGGUACCGCGAGUCCUUCUCGUCCCUUAG